Molecule: small nuclear RNA, 160 nt
Filed under: Canis lupus dingo (dingo)
Lineage: Eukaryota; Metazoa; Chordata; Mammalia; Carnivora; Canidae
Description: U4 spliceosomal RNA (ENSCAFG00020016645.1)
Rfam family: U4 spliceosomal RNA (bases 1-64)
Source: RNAcentral
AGCUUUGCACAGUGGCAGUAUUGUAGCCAAUGAGGUUUAUCCAAGGCGCAUUUAUUGCUAAUUAUUUUAAAGAUUUUACGUCUGCCUUUGGCUCAGGGUGUGAUCCUGGAGUCCCAGGAUCAAGUCCUACAUCAGGUAGGACUUUGCAUGGAGCCUGCUU